UGUGCAGAAACAGUGCAGAUGUGGCUGCUGUGUCACAUGAGUAUCAGUAGCUGGCAGAGAGGAGAUGGGCUAUGUCUAUGUUGAGUGUUCUGAUCUAUGAGCAUCUGAACAAUCAGUAGCCUGACAAU
Rattus norvegicus (Norway rat) is the source of this 128-nucleotide small nucleolar RNA. Ensembl annotates it as small nucleolar RNA SNORA17. Lineage: Eukaryota; Metazoa; Chordata; Mammalia; Rodentia; Muridae. The record is from Ensembl.